GCCCCCGUAUCCCAACGGCAGAGGAAGCGCCCUUAAAAGGCGCUCAGUGUGGGUUCGAGUCCCACCGGGGGCA
Molecule: transfer RNA, 73 nt
Filed under: Actinomycetota bacterium
Lineage: Bacteria; Bacillati; Actinomycetota
Description: tRNA-Leu
Rfam family: tRNA
About the family: Transfer RNA (tRNA) molecules are approximately 80 nucleotides in length. Their secondary structure includes four short double-helical elements and three loops (D, anti-codon, and T loops).
Source: RNAcentral